UGCAGUCGANCGGUAACAUUUCUAGCUUGCUAGAAGAUGACGAGUGGCGGACGGGUGAGUAAUGCUUGGGAACUUGCCUUUGCGAGGGGGAUAACAGUUGGAAACGACUGCUAAUACCGUAUAAUGUCUACGGACCAAACGGGGCUUCGGCUCCGGCGCAAAGAGAGGCCCAAGUGAGAUUAGCUAGUUGGUAAGGUAACGGCUUACCAAGGCGACGAUCUCUAGCUGUUCUGAGAGGAAGAUCAGCCACACUGGGACUGAGACACGGCCCAGACUCCUACGGGAGGCAGCAGUGGGGAAUAUUGCACAAUGGGGGAAACCCUGAUGCAGCCAUGCCGCGUGUGUGAAGAAGGCCUUCGGGUUGUAAAGCACUUUCAGUUGUGAGGAAAAGUUAGUAGUUAAUACCUGCUAGCCGUGACGUUAACAACAGAAGAAGCACCGGCUAACUCCGUGCCAGCAGCCGCGGUAAUACGGAGGGUGCGAGCGUUAAUCGGAAUUACUGGGCGUAAAGCGCACGCAGGCGGUUUGUUAAGCUAGAUGUGAAAGCCCCGGGCUCAACCUGGGAUGGUCAUUUAGAACUGGCAGACUAGAGUCUUGGAGAGGGGAGUGGAAUUCCAGGUGUAGCGGUGAAAUGCAUAGAUAUCUGGAGGAACAUCAGUGGCGAANGCGACUCCCUGGCCAAAGACUGACGCUCAUGUGCGAAAGUGUGGGUAGCGAACANGAUUAGAUACCCUGGUAGUCCACACCGUAAACGCUGUCUACUAGCUGUGUGUGCCUUUNANGGCGUGCGUANCGAANCUANCGCGCUAAGUANANCGCCUGGGGNNUACNGNCGCAANGUUAAAACUCAAAUGAAUUGACGGGGGCCCGCACAAGCGG
RNAcentral lists this ribosomal RNA (879 nucleotides) under uncultured bacterium. RNAcentral describes it as "bacterial SSU rRNA". It matches the Rfam family "Bacterial small subunit ribosomal RNA", at positions 56 to 932 of the family's 1533-position model. The record is from RNAcentral.